This 73-nucleotide transfer RNA is filed under the name Cordylochernes scorpioides. RNAcentral's name for it is "tRNA-Thr". It matches the Rfam family "tRNA". From Rfam's summary of the family: Transfer RNA (tRNA) molecules are approximately 80 nucleotides in length. Their secondary structure includes four short double-helical elements and three loops (D, anti-codon, and T loops). Lineage: Eukaryota; Metazoa; Arthropoda; Arachnida; Pseudoscorpiones; Chernetidae. The record is from RNAcentral.
UCCAGGGUAGCCUAGUGGACAUGGCAUCUGCCCGGUAAGCGGAACACUAUGGGUUCGAUUCCCAUUCCUGGAU